GGUCGAGAUGGAUUGUGAGCGUAAAAUACACGGGAUGGUCCAGCUCGCUGAGCGGCGGGCUCCUCUGUGCAAUAUGGCGUCUUCCUCUUUUCGAAGUACGUGUCUAUCCGUGUGAUAUAGAUAUACAUCACGGUACAGAGGUUAAUCGUUCCUCGCACGACACGAGCACCUGGAACACGAGCAAUUCCCUCGAUGUGGACAAAUAGGGAGCGAAGCUGUCGACACCGGGUGAACCUAUCCCGUGCCAGCUACGGAAAUACAGCAGGGGAGAUUCCCGCGCGGCGAAGGAACCUCUGGGACCUGCCGAGUUCAGAGGGGUUCGCGAGGGUGGCGAAGGAGUGAGGCGACUGUCAGCGGAGCUCAGAUUGUAUCGUCGCUCCCAACGGAGAACUACGCCGGCCACUCUCUCGGAGUCCUUGACUUAUGCGAGUAAUUUCGAGUACCUUUGAGGCCUUUGGGGUGGCGUUCAAAAGUUGUAGCGUGGAAAUUGGGGUGAAAUGAAAGCAGCCCAACGAAUAUAGGUGUAUACGUCCGAUUUCACGGAUAAUUACACAGGUCAUCAGCUGUUUUUCCAUUUGGCUCGAUCUCUUAUCGCAUACAAGUAUAUAUGUAUAUCGCAUAACCAUUAAAUUAUCCGUAAUCCUGUCAGACAACACAAUAUUCAUCGAAAAAAACGGUGUGAUUUUGAUUAACUUGUUUGAUUACAUGUCAAAUGCACCCUGCAUUGCGUUCAAUUAAACAUAUGUAAAUACUCCAUGACUAUGAUUAUUUUGCUCUGCAGCGUUAAGUUGAAUUGUACGUUGCAGCGCUAUAACUUAACCGUAAAUUCAUUUUUAUAAAUAUUUUUCUAAUGUUCAAUGGUAUACCCAUUAUGCAGGUACCUGCCGCAGAGCUCUUUUGUUUCCACAUUAUAUACUCUAUAAAAUUUGUAGGACAAUGAUAAAAAGAUGAAUACUCUACUGUAACAAUGAAAUUAAUUAACUCUGUUGCAUUUGAGUAUAUGGUACUUUUCCAAUAUUAAUGUCACGUCUGUUUCAUAUCGUACUGUGGAUAGAGCUUGUCGCUACAGCACGUGUUUGAACAAGUGCGAGAGAAAAACAUACAUUCUUUUUCGAUUCACUGCUUGCGCUUAAUAAACGGAGUUCAUUGGGUCCAGACAAUUGCUAAAAACUUUCGAUAAUAAUUGAUCAAUACGUGUUUAUUUUUAUCAUUACAGUAAAAAAUAUUGUUGCUGUUCACGCUAAUUCCAUUUUCAUUUUUUCCAGCUAAUAAAGUCAGAAGCAAGAGUUUCAAUGAUAAUACUAAAAAUAACAUACUGAACGAGAAAAUAACGUUUCUGCGCUACCUCCGUCAACAGCUCGACUACUUUGUCAUUUUUAUGUGCACUAGUGCUUAUAAAAACUACACAAUAUUCUCGUCUUUGGCUAGAGGAGCACGC
This is a long non-coding RNA of Diprion similis, 1438 nucleotides long. RefSeq lists it as uncharacterized. NCBI's taxonomy places the organism in Eukaryota, Metazoa, Arthropoda, Insecta, Hymenoptera, Diprionidae. The record is from RefSeq and is a predicted model, not a curated record. The transcript has 3 exons.